UCACUAAGCGGAGGAAAAGAAACUAACCAGGAUUCCCCUAGUAACGGCGAGUAAGAGGGAAUAGCCCAGAUCAGGGAAGCCUGCGGUAGGUUUACUGCUAGGCAAUGUGGUGUUUGGGUCGACUCGCGGGACUGCCACUUCACUCGAAGUCCAACACUGAGUAUGGUUCCCUGGAUUUGGCCCAAAGAGGGUGAAAGACCGUGCGAGUGGAGGCCUCAGACAUGUGAGGCAGUUCACCAGGUGCACCUUC
RNAcentral lists this ribosomal RNA (250 nucleotides) under Spirometra mansonoides. RNAcentral describes it as "partial 28S ribosomal RNA". It matches the Rfam family "Eukaryotic large subunit ribosomal RNA", at positions 43 to 276 of the family's 3401-position model. The record is from RNAcentral. Lineage: Eukaryota; Metazoa; Platyhelminthes; Cestoda; Diphyllobothriidea; Diphyllobothriidae.